UUCCUGCCCUCGAGGAGCUCACAGUCUAGUAUGUGCCAUCCCCUACUAGACUGAAGCUCCUUGAGGACAGGGGUCGUCACACUCACCUC
This is a microRNA precursor of Loxodonta africana (African savanna elephant), 89 nucleotides long. NCBI's taxonomy places the organism in Eukaryota, Metazoa, Chordata, Mammalia, Proboscidea, Elephantidae. The record is from Ensembl.